Molecule: ribosomal RNA, 399 nt
Filed under: Triticum aestivum (bread wheat)
Lineage: Eukaryota; Viridiplantae; Streptophyta; Magnoliopsida; Poales; Poaceae
Description: partial small subunit ribosomal RNA
Source: RNAcentral
AUGGAGGAGGUGACGGAGGGGGUCAAGAACCUGGCCGUGACGGAGCCGCACAAGAAGAACCGGAUCCAGGUCUCCAACACGAAGAAGCCGCUCUUCUUCUAUGUCAACCUCGCCAAGAGGUACAUGCAGAUGCAUAACGAGGUGGAACUCUCCGCCCUCGGCAUGGCUACCGCCACUGUGGUGACAGUUGCCGAAAUUCUGAAAAAUAAUGGCCUUGCUGUUGAGAAGAAGAUCAUGACAUCCACUGUUGAUGUCAACGAUGAAUCAAGGGGCCGCCCGAUGCAGAAGGCCAAGAUUGAGAUAGUGCUGGGCAAGACUGAGAACUUCGACGAGCUGAUGGCUGCUGCCGCGGAGGAGAGGGAAGUCGCAGCUGCCGAGGACGGCGAGGAGCAGGGCUAA